This 1426-nucleotide ribosomal RNA is filed under the name metagenome. RNAcentral's name for it is "bacterial SSU rRNA". It matches the Rfam family "Archaeal small subunit ribosomal RNA". The record is from RNAcentral.
GUUGAUCCUGCGGGAGGUUGCAGCUAUUGGAGUUCGACUAAGCCAUGCAAGUCUGUUCAGCAAUGGACGGCAAACUGCUCAGUAACACGUCGAUAACCUUACCUUAAGUCUGGGAUACCCUUGGGAAACUAAGGUUAAACCCGGAUAUAAGAUCGUAAUUGGAAAAUGCGCUCUUACAAAAGCAAUGCUUAAGGAUGGGUCGGCGGCUGAUUAGGUAGUUGGUGGGGUAAAGGCCCACCAAGCCGAAGAUCAGUAAAGGCCUUGAGAGAGGUGGCCUUGAGAAGGGCACUUAGACACUGGCCCUAGCCCUACGGGGUGCAGCAGGCGCGAAACCUCUACACUGCACGAAAGUGUGAUAGGGGGACUCCAAGUGCUUAUGCUUUUUGCAUAGGCUUUUGCCAAGGGCAAAUACCUUGGCGAAUAAGUGGUGGGCAAGACGGGUGCCAGCCGCCGCGGUAACACCUGCGCCACAAGUUGGAACCACAUUUAUUGGGCCUAAAGCGUUCGUAGCUUGUUUGAUGAAUCUUUUGUGAAAUCGUUGCGCUUAACGUAACGGCGUGCAAAAGACACUAUCAGACUUGGAACCGGAGAGGGGUUAGGAGUAUUUCUGGGGGAGCGGUAAAAUGCUAUAAUCCCAGAAGGACUGCCAGUGGCGAAGGCGCCUAACCAGAACGGUUUCGACGGUGAGGGACGAAAGCCAGGGGAGCAAUCCGGAUUAGAUACCCGAGUAGUCCUGGCUGUAAACGCUGCGAGCUAGGUGUCACGUAUUUUUGUAAAUACGUGGUGUCGAAGCGAAGGUGUUAAGCUCGCCGCCUGGGAAGUAUGGUCGCAAGGCUGAAACUUAAAGGAAUAGGCGGGGGAGCACCACAAGGGGUGCGGCGUGCGGUUUAAUCUAAUUCAACACAGAACAUCUCACCAGGAGCGACGGCAGGAUGAAAGUCAGGUUAAAGGCCUUACUUGACGAGCCGAGAGGUAGUGCAUGGCCGUCGUCAGCUCGUGCCGCAAGGUGUCCAGUUAAGUCUGGCAACGAGCAAGACCUGUGUCUACAAUUGCUAACAUCAUCUUUAGAUGGUGUGCACAUUGUAGAGACUGCCUUGGAAACAAGGAGGAAGGUGCAGGCCACGGCAGGUCAGUAUGCUCCGAAUCCCCUGGGCUACACGCGCGCAACAAUGGUAAGGACAAUGGGAUACGACUCCGAAAGGAGAAGUUAAGCCUCGAAACCUUACUUUAGUUCAGAUUGAGGGUUGUAACUCACCCUCAUGACGUUGGAAUCCCUAGUAAUCGGACGUCAUUAGCGUCCAGUGAAUGUGUCCCUGCUCCUUGCACUCACCGCCCGUCAAACCACCCGAGCAGGGUUUAGAUGAGAAUCAUCCUAAGGAUAAUUCGAAUCUAGGCUUUGUGAGGAGGGUUAAGUCGUCACAAGGUA